CUUCAGGAAAAGGAAGCGUGAGGAGAAUAAGGGGAAAUAUAUUAAGAAACCUCCCAACGCGUUUAUGCUUUUCCUAAAAAGCGAGAGGAAGACUGUGCAGGAAGAGCUCGGCAUUAGGAACAGUGCCGCCGUCAACAAAGUUCUUUCUGAACGCUGGAAGUCUUUGGAGGCAAACAAAAGAGAGCUCUUUGAAGCAGAAGCCCAAAUAGAAGCUCAUAUCCAUGCUUUGAAGAACCCCGGCUGGACCAACAAAGCGAACUACGUAAGUCUACUCAAUCUUAGAGGUGAUGACAUCAUGACUGUGGAAGUGUUUUAUCAGCUGACUAGAAUUUUCACGUGUCUGAUUUUAGGGGAAAAAGAGUAAAAAAUCAAAGACUAAAGCUCCACCUCUGCCUCCACCCUCCUGCUGAUGGGAAUGUGUAAUGAACAUCACUAACAUACUAACGGUAAGUAUCAUUACUCAAAACAUCACUUCAUUUUAUGAUGAUUUUAUUUCAAAUUAGUUUUUCCACAAAU
This 516-nucleotide long non-coding RNA is filed under the name Gouania willdenowi (blunt-snouted clingfish). RNAcentral describes it as "lncRNA (ENSGWIG00000005531.1)". Lineage: Eukaryota; Metazoa; Chordata; Actinopteri; Blenniiformes; Gobiesocidae. The record is from RNAcentral.